GAAAUGCGAUAAGUAAUGUGAAUUGCAGAAUUCAGUGAAUCAUCGAAUCUUUGAACGCACAUUGCGCCCCCUGGUAUUCCGGGGGGCACGCCUGUUCGAGCGUCAUUUCACCACUCAAGCCUCGCUUGGUAUUGGGCAACGCGGUCCGCCGCGUGCCUCAAAUCGACCGGCUGGGUCUUCUGUCCCCUAAGCGUUGUGGAAACUAUUCGCUAAAGGGUGCUCGGGAGGCUACGCCGUAAAACAAACCCGUUUCUAAGGUUGACCUCGGAUCAGGUAGGGAUACCCGCUGAACUUAAGC
RNAcentral lists this unclassified non-coding RNA (298 nucleotides) under plant metagenome. RNAcentral describes it as "partial contains 5.8S ribosomal RNA, internal transcribed spacer 2, and large subunit ribosomal RNA". The stretch from base 1 to 105 matches the Rfam family "5.8S ribosomal RNA", at positions 50 to 154 of the family's 154-position model. The record is from RNAcentral.